CCUAGCUUUCCUGGUCUGAUCUUGUUGGGGAGUGCUCCCUUCCCUUGUUGCUGGUUGACAAGAGCAAGGGGGCUUAAGACCCUGACAUCUGGCGCCCAGUGUGGGGCCCCUCAAGGCUGAUCAGCAGCCAAAGCGAAGAGGCAGCUUCAAAACCGAAAGUACCAGCAGAUCGGGCCAAGCGAGUUCCGAGGACCUCCCAAAGGGGGCUCCAAGUAUCCCCCCAAAGAGCCACCGCCUCCGGAUGGCGGGAAAUCUUCCCGGCGCCAUUUUAUGAUACUGGAUGAGCACUCACUGACUCUAACCUUCCCACUCCCUGUAUGGCCUUCCCGGUACACAAGUUUUUAAAACAGGAAAUUUAUCAAGAUGCUA
This is a long non-coding RNA of Sciurus carolinensis (gray squirrel), 369 nucleotides long. RefSeq lists it as uncharacterized. The transcript has 3 exons. NCBI's taxonomy places the organism in Eukaryota, Metazoa, Chordata, Mammalia, Rodentia, Sciuridae. The record is from RefSeq and is a predicted model, not a curated record.